Molecule: transfer RNA, 41 nt
Filed under: Ctenophora environmental sample
Lineage: Eukaryota; Metazoa; Ctenophora
Description: partial tRNA
Source: RNAcentral
GCUCUUCUAAUCCGUAGGUCACAGGUUCGAAUCCUGCCAGG